UGCCCCAUGGCUGAGUUGGUUACAGCGUCCGACUGUUAUCACUGCAUGUGUUAUUAUUCAUCGGAAGGUCGAGAGUUCGAGCCUCUCUGGGGCAG
Lentinula novae-zelandiae is the source of this 95-nucleotide non-coding RNA. The record is from the annotation of a GenBank genome assembly. Lineage: Eukaryota; Fungi; Basidiomycota; Agaricomycetes; Agaricales; Omphalotaceae.